RNAcentral lists this transfer RNA (71 nucleotides) under Rhodospirillaceae bacterium. Its description in RNAcentral is "tRNA-Gly". It matches the Rfam family "tRNA". From Rfam's summary of the family: Transfer RNA (tRNA) molecules are approximately 80 nucleotides in length. Their secondary structure includes four short double-helical elements and three loops (D, anti-codon, and T loops). Lineage: Bacteria; Pseudomonadati; Pseudomonadota; Alphaproteobacteria; Rhodospirillales; Rhodospirillaceae. The record is from RNAcentral.
GCGAGAUUAGUUUAGCGGUAAAACUGUAGCCUUCCAAGCUAUUGUCGUCGGUUCGAUUCCGACAUCUCGCU